AUACGUAAGGCGCGAGCGUUGUCCGGAAUUACUGGGCGUAAAGGGCGCGUAGGCGGCGCUUCAAGUCGUCUGUCAAAUGGGAGGGCUUAACCCUUUUUCGCAGACGAAACUGGAGAGCUUGAGAAGCAGAGAGGCAAACAGAAUUCCUGGUGUAGCGGUGAAAUGCGUAGAUAUCAGGAAGAAUACCAGUGGCGAAGGCGGUUUGCUGGCUGCAUACUGACGCUGAAGCGCGAAAGCCAGGGGAGCAAACGGGAUUAGAUACCCCGGUAGUCCUGGCAGUAAACGAUGUAUGCUGGGUGUGAGACUAGCGAUAGUUUCGUGCCGAAGUUAACGCGAUAAGCAUACCGCCUGGGGAGUACGGUCGCAAGAUUGAAACUUAAAGGAAUUGACGGGG
Molecule: ribosomal RNA, 394 nt
Filed under: uncultured bacterium
Lineage: Bacteria
Description: partial 16S ribosomal RNA
Rfam family: Bacterial small subunit ribosomal RNA
Source: RNAcentral